Molecule: ribosomal RNA, 490 nt
Filed under: uncultured bacterium
Lineage: Bacteria
Description: partial 16S ribosomal RNA
Rfam family: Bacterial small subunit ribosomal RNA
Source: RNAcentral
GAUGAACGCUAGCUACAGGCUUAACACAUGCAAGUCGCGGGGCAGCAUGGGGGUUGCUUGCAAUCCCCGAUGGCGACCGGCGCACGGGUGAGUAACGCGUAUCCAACCUGCCCUUCACCACGGGAUAACCCGGCGAAAGUCGGACUAAUACCGUAUGUUGUCCAUUGACGGCAUCCGAUUUGGACGAAAGGUUUGGCGGUGAAGAAUGGGGAUGCGUCCGAUUAGCUGGACGGCGGGGUGACGGCCCACCGUGGCGACGAUCGGUAGGGGUUCUGAGAGGAAGGUCCCCCACACUGGAACUGAGACACGGUCCAGACUCCUACGGGAGGCAGCAGUGAGGAAUAUUGGUCAAUGGGCGUAAGCCUGAACCAGCCAAGUAGCGUGCAGGAUGACGGCCCUAUGGGUUGUAAACUGCUUUUAUGCGGGGAUAAAGUGGCCCACGUGUGGGUUUUUGCAGGUACCGCAUGAAUAAGGACCGGCUAAUUCCGUG